GUUGAUCCUGCCAGUAGUCAUAUGCUUGUCUCAAAGAUUAAGCCAUGCAUGUCUCAGUACAAGCCUAAUUAAGGUGAAACCGCGAAAGGCUCAUUAAAUCAGUUAUGGUUCCUUAGAUCGUACCCACAUUUACUUGGAUAACUGUGGUAAUUCUAGAGCUAAUACAUGCAAACAGAGCUCCGACCGGAGACGGAAGGAGCGCUUUUAUUAGAUCAAAACCAAUCGGCGGCGGGCUUGCUCGCCGUCGUACACCUUGGUGAAUCUGAAUAACUUUCUGCUGAUCGCAUGGUCUCGCACCGGCGACGCAUCUUUCAAAUGUCUGCCUUAUCAACUGUCGAUGGUAGGUUCUGCGCCUACCAUGGUUGUAACGGGUAACGGGGAAUCAGGGUUCGAUUCCGGAGAGGGAGCCUGAGAAACGGCUACCACAUCCAAGGAAGGCAGCAGGCGCGCAAAUUACCCACUCCCGGCACGGGGAGGUAGUGACGAAAAAUAACGAUACGGGACUCAUCCGAGGCCCCGUAAUCGGAAUGAGUACACUCUAAACCCUUUAACGAGGAUCAAUUGGAGGGCAAGUCUGGUGCCAGCAGCCGCGGUAAUUCCAGCUCCAAUAGCGUAUAUUAAAGUUG
This 626-nucleotide ribosomal RNA is filed under the name Oulimnius tuberculatus. Its description in RNAcentral is "SSU rRNA". It matches the Rfam family "Eukaryotic small subunit ribosomal RNA", at positions 7 to 612 of the family's 1831-position model. The record is from RNAcentral. Lineage: Eukaryota; Metazoa; Arthropoda; Insecta; Coleoptera; Elmidae.